RNAcentral lists this transfer RNA (70 nucleotides) under Cavia porcellus (domestic guinea pig). It matches the Rfam family "tRNA". From Rfam's summary of the family: Transfer RNA (tRNA) molecules are approximately 80 nucleotides in length. Their secondary structure includes four short double-helical elements and three loops (D, anti-codon, and T loops). Further hydrogen bonds mediate the characteristic L-shaped molecular structure. tRNAs have two regions of fundamental functional importance: the anti-codon, which is responsible for specific mRNA codon recognition, and the 3' end, to which the tRNAs corresponding amino acid is attached (by aminoacyl-tRNA synthetases). tRNAs cope with the degeneracy of the genetic code in two manners: having more than one tRNA (with a specific anti-codon) for a particular amino acid; and 'wobble' base-pairing, i.e. permitting non-standard base-pairing at the 3rd anti-codon position. The record is from Rfam by way of RNAcentral. Lineage: Eukaryota; Metazoa; Chordata; Mammalia; Rodentia; Caviidae.
GGUGAUGUGGCUCAAUGGUAGAGUUCUUGCCUUGGACACAAGAGCCUGGGUUUGAUCUCUAGCUCCAUCA